UCCGAGUUGACCCCGGCAGUCUCCUACGAGUCCCCGCCAUUACGCGCUGGCAACAUAGAAUAAGGGUUGCGCUCGUUGCGGGACUUAACCCAACACCUCACGGCACGAGCUGACGACAACCAUGCACCACCUGUAUACGGCCCCGAAGGACACCAUAUCUCUAUGGCUUUUCCGUAUAUUUCAAGCCCUGGUAAGGUUCUUCGCGUUGCGUCGAAUUAAGCCACAUGCUCCGCCGCUUGUGCGGGCCCCCGUCAAUUCCUUUGAGUUUCAGUCUUGCGACCGUACUCCCCAGGCGGAGUGCUUAUUGUGUUAACUUCGGCACUGACCAUCGCUGGCCAACACCUAGCACUCAUCGUUUACAGCGUGGACUAC
This 372-nucleotide unclassified non-coding RNA is filed under the name uncultured bacterium. RNAcentral's name for it is "contains 16S-23S intergenic spacer region". The record is from RNAcentral.